UUUAGUAUUCGAUCCAGAACUCCGAGCACUAGCAGUUCUCGACGUGGAAGAAGUAGAGCUGAUUCUACAACGAAUAGUGACUCUGAUGAAGAUGACACCGACAGAACACCCCAAAAAUCUUUAAGAAGAGGCGUUAGAUUUUCUAUACUAGAAGAAAAAACACCCGGUACAUCAAAAACUUUGAGAAGGAAGCAAGAACCACGAGCUUCGUCUACACCAACCACAGGUAGGAGAAUGCGGACUUGAAUUAAACUUAA
Molecule: long non-coding RNA, 257 nt
Organism: Copidosoma floridanum
Lineage: Eukaryota; Metazoa; Arthropoda; Insecta; Hymenoptera; Encyrtidae
Gene: Cap-D2
Source: RefSeq, a predicted model, not a curated record